GACGAACGCUGGCGGCGUGCUUAACACAUGCAAGUCGAACGGAAAGUUCCGGGUGUUGUGGGGUGCUCGAGUGGCGAACGGGUGGGAAACACGUGAGUAACCGGCCCCUGUCUGGGGGACAACAGCAGGUAACUGCUGCGAAUACCGGGUAGAAGCUUCUGCUCCGUAGGGUGGGUUGGAGAGUGUAGGCGGUGGUGGAUGGACUCGGGGCUUAUCAGCCUGUUUGUUGGGUAGUGGCUGACCAGGGCUUUGACGGGAAGCCGACCUGGGCGGGUGACCGGCCACGUUACGACUGAGAUACGGCCCAGACGCGUAUGGUACGCAGCAGUGGGGAAUAUUGCACAAUAGGCGGGAGCCUGAUGUAACAACGCCGCGUGCGGUAAGACGGCCUUCUGGUUGUGAACCACUUUCGCCUGAGCCGAAGCGUGAAUGACGGUACUGGGUAAAGAAGCCCCGGCUAACUACGUG
RNAcentral lists this ribosomal RNA (468 nucleotides) under uncultured bacterium. Its description in RNAcentral is "partial 16S ribosomal RNA". It matches the Rfam family "Bacterial small subunit ribosomal RNA", at positions 28 to 507 of the family's 1533-position model. The record is from RNAcentral.